CACGUAGUUAGCCGGUGCUUAUUCUUCAGGUACCGUCAUUAGUAAGGGAUAUUAGCCCUCACCGUUUCUUCCCUGACAAAAGAGCUUUACAACCCGAAGGCCUUCUUCACUCACGCGGCAUUGCUGGAUCAGGCUUUCGCCCAUUGUCCAAAAUUCCCCACUGCUGCCUCCCGUAGGAGUCUGGACCGUGUCUCAGUUCCAGUGUGGCUGGUCGUCCUCUCAGACCAGCUACUGAUCGUAGCCUUGGUGAGCCUUUACCUCACCAACUAGCUAAUCAGAUAUCGGCCGCUCCAGGAGCACAAGGUCCGAAGAUCCCCUGCUUUCAUCCUUAGAUCGUAUGCGGUAUUAGCGUAACUUUCGCUACGUUAUCCCCCACUCUUGGGUACGUUCCGAUAUAUUACUCACCCGUUCGCCACUCGCCGCCAGGUUGCCCCGCGCUGCCGUUCGACUUGCAUGUGUAAAGCAUGCCGCCAGCGUUCAAUCUGAGCCAGGAUCAAACU
RNAcentral lists this ribosomal RNA (500 nucleotides) under uncultured Massilia sp. RNAcentral describes it as "partial 16S ribosomal RNA". Lineage: Bacteria; Pseudomonadati; Pseudomonadota; Betaproteobacteria; Burkholderiales; Oxalobacteraceae. The record is from RNAcentral.